RNAcentral lists this ribosomal RNA (484 nucleotides) under uncultured bacterium. Its description in RNAcentral is "partial 16S ribosomal RNA". It matches the Rfam family "Bacterial small subunit ribosomal RNA", at positions 30 to 507 of the family's 1533-position model. The record is from RNAcentral.
AUUGGACGCUGGCGGCAGGCCUAACACAUGCAAGUCGAGCGGAUGAAGGGAGCUUGCUCCUGGAUUCAGCGGCGGACGGGUGAGUAAUGCCUAGGAAUCUGCCUGGUAGUGGGGGAUAACGUCCGGAAACGGGCGCUAAUACCGCAUACGUCCUGAGGGAGAAAGUGGGGGAUCUUCGGACCUCACGCUAUCAGAUGAGCCUAGGUCGGAUUAGCUAGUUGGUGGGGUAAAGGCCUACCAAGGCGACGAUCCGUAACUGGUCUGAGAGGAUGAUCAGUCACACUGGAACUGAGACACGGUCCAGACUCCUACGGGAGGCAGCAGUGGGGAAUAUUGGACAAUGGGCGAAAGCCUGAUCCAGCCAUGCCGCGUGUGUGAAGAAGGUCUUCGGAUUGUAAAGCACUUUAAGUUGGGAGGAAGGGCAGUAAGUUAAUACCUUGCUGUUUUAACGUUACCAACAGAAUAAGCACCGGCUAACUUCGUG